UUUCACAUCAAAAGCAUCACACACCCUGAAUAUGCACGUUAUGAAUUGCAGUGUCAUUACAAGGAGAUCUUUCCAUUAAUGUUCUAGCAUUUAAACUUGCUUUUUAUCACUAUUAUUUUUCUCUGCAAACUAUGCUACAAUGAAUUUGAAGUCAAAUCAUCAAUCUAAUCCAGUCCCUCUACAAGCCAGGCCGCUUUGCAUUAAUAGUUCUUGACAGAACAGCAUGAAUGCCAUUAUAAAGCGAUAUUCUCAUUCUGAAAAUACUAUAUGCAGCCACCAAACAAUAUGAAAGCAAAGACAAGCCACAGUUACAUAAUUGAUUACACAUAUAAAAUCAACAAAUCAUUUUCAGAAUUCAUAUUAUGAACAAAAGCAAACCUUUGUGUAAAAUCUCGGUUCCCGGUAGCGGGUUGGGUUG
This 418-nucleotide unclassified non-coding RNA is filed under the name Hevea brasiliensis (rubber tree). The record is from RNAcentral. Lineage: Eukaryota; Viridiplantae; Streptophyta; Magnoliopsida; Malpighiales; Euphorbiaceae.